Molecule: ribosomal RNA, 253 nt
Filed under: uncultured Stenotrophomonas sp.
Lineage: Bacteria; Pseudomonadati; Pseudomonadota; Gammaproteobacteria; Lysobacterales; Lysobacteraceae
Description: partial 16S ribosomal RNA
Rfam family: Bacterial small subunit ribosomal RNA
Source: RNAcentral
UACGAAGGGUGCAAGCGUUACUCGGAAUUACUGGGCGUAAAGCGUGCGUAGGUGGUCGUUUAAGUCCGUUGUGAAAGCCCUGGGCUCAACCUGGGAACUGCAGUGGAUACUGGGCGACUAGAGUGUGGUAGAGGGUAGCGGAAUUCCUGGUGUAGCAGUGAAAUGCGUAGAGAUCAGGAGGAACAUCCAUGGCGAAGGCAGCUGCCUGGACCAACACUGACACUGAGGCACGAAAGCGUGGGGAGCAAACAGG